RNAcentral lists this long non-coding RNA (644 nucleotides) under Parus major (Great Tit). RNAcentral describes it as "lncRNA (ENSPMJG00000015337.1)". Lineage: Eukaryota; Metazoa; Chordata; Aves; Passeriformes; Paridae. The record is from RNAcentral.
UUAAAGUUAAUGAAUGCUUAAAUUAAUUUACUGACAAAAACAAAUGUCUGUCCUUCAGAUCCUAUAAUUUUAAUUGGAGUGGGCUACGGCUUAAUUAACAUGUAUUGAUUGUAGUCCUGAGUACAUCUAUAGGUGGGUGGACUGUGUUGGGAGAAAUCCUCCUCAGAGAUGAAGAUUUGCUGAUAACAUUCUGAAUAAUUGUCUUGUGAAGAGACAGAAGUCUUUGCUGUUUUCUCUGCAGAAAGCUUUAAACAAAAGGUAUUGUUUAUAAUUAAGGCAAAAAAAAGAUUGACACGGCUGCUUUUUUAUAGAUGGGAAGAGAAUUCUGCUGCAAAAAUAUUAAUGAAUUGACUCAUUAAUUAGGUGCAUGAAGAAAACAGAAAAUUGGAAGAGAGUUGGAGCAAAUAAAGAAGCGGAUGCAACUGGAAACUUUUUGGGGGAUAAAAAGGUGGGUCAGGCUGUCUCCCCUGAGGCGGGGAUGUACCUGCAGAGCUGUGGGUGAGGAGCAGCUGGGAGAAUCCUCCUCCUCCAUCCCUGUGUUCCUGGGAGCCGUGUCCAUCCUCAGGGAUGCGGGAUGUGCCCGCGAAGCGUGACUUGGAUUUCCACUGCUGUGAAAAUGGAGAAUAAACCACCAGUGCAAUCCA